Molecule: transfer-messenger RNA, 358 nt
Filed under: Bryobacteraceae
Lineage: Bacteria; Pseudomonadati; Acidobacteriota; Terriglobia; Bryobacterales
Also listed under: 1 other name
Description: F-183 sp016865505 Standard tmRNA
Rfam family: transfer-messenger RNA
About the family: Bacterial tmRNA, also known as 10Sa RNA or SsrA, is named for its dual tRNA and mRNA-like properties.
Source: RNAcentral
GGGGGCGCACCGGUUUCGACGGGAUUGCGUCCGUUUUGAGAAGGCGUGCCGGGUUCCAGGCUCCCGUAAAACGACUGGAAAACAAUAACUGCCAACAACACGCAGUUUGCAUACGCUGCCUAAUUACUAGGUAGCCGCCUCCGCCGCCAGGCUUGUAUGGUAGCGGGUUGUGCGUCAUAUGACAGGAUUGGCUGACUCUCUUCCGCCCGUAGAGAUAGGCUGAAAACAAUCGGGUAUGGCUGGUCUUUUUCUUGCCGGUACUAUAGGGGCCAGCCGAGACUUUAGAACCGGAAACGCACGUAGUUCUUUUCAAGGCGGGUAGUUUCGGACGUGGGUUCAAUUCCCACCGCCUCCACCA